RNAcentral lists this ribosomal RNA (301 nucleotides) under uncultured bacterium. Its description in RNAcentral is "partial 16S ribosomal RNA". It matches the Rfam family "Bacterial small subunit ribosomal RNA", at positions 509 to 807 of the family's 1533-position model. The record is from RNAcentral.
CAGUCGCCACGGGAAUACGUAGGUGGCAAGCGUUGUCCGGAUUUAUUGGGCGUAAAGCGAGCGCAGGCGGUUCCUUAAGUCUGAUGUGAAAGCCCCCGGCUCAACCGGGGAGGGUCAUUGGAAACUGGGGAACUUGAGUGCAGAAGAGGAGAGUGGAAUUCCAUGUGUAGCGGUGAAAUGCGUAGAUAUAUGGAGGAACACCAGUGGCGAAGGCGACUCUCUGGUCUGUAACUGACGCUGAGGCUCGAAAGCGUGGGUAGCAAACAGGAUUAGAUACCCCCGUAGUCCCUGUCUCUUAUAC